GCUAGACGAAGUAGUGGAAUGCUACACCAGAGAAGGUGAAAGUCCUGUAGUCAAAAGCCUAACAAUCCUAGCUGUAUCCCGAGUAGUCCGGAGCACGUGGAAUUCCGGAUGAAUCUGCGAGGACCACCUCGUAAGGCUAAAUACUACUGCGUGACCGAUAG
Molecule: ribosomal RNA, 161 nt
Filed under: uncultured organism
Description: 23S ribosomal RNA
Rfam family: Bacterial large subunit ribosomal RNA
Source: RNAcentral